Non-coding RNA from Dipodomys ordii (Ord's kangaroo rat), 73 nucleotides. The record is from Rfam. NCBI's taxonomy places the organism in Eukaryota, Metazoa, Chordata, Mammalia, Rodentia, Heteromyidae.
GGGAAGGUGGCCCAGUAGUAGAGUGCUUGCCUUGCAUGCAUGAGGUCCUGGGUUCGAUUCCUCAGUACUACCA